Molecule: long non-coding RNA, 484 nt
Organism: Pomacea canaliculata
Lineage: Eukaryota; Metazoa; Mollusca; Gastropoda; Architaenioglossa; Ampullariidae
Exons: 3
Source: RefSeq, a predicted model, not a curated record
UUCGCGGGCCGGCGUUGUUCGUCAGCAGCCUCCAAUCUAUAAAUAUCCGUCAGCAUCGCGAGCCUCGAUCUCGCCCGGCUGCUCAAAAAGCGAUCACAUGACUAUAUAGGCGUCGGAGAUGGCGGCUGCAUCUGAGUGUCCGUUGGUGCUGGUUACUGGGGCGACAGGGUACAUUGCAUCCCAUGUCAUCAAACAGCUGCAGGAGGCAGGGCACAUGGUGCGAGGCACAGUGCGAAGCCUGUCAGAUGAAGCCAAAAUCAAACACCUGCAAGAUCUUGCCCUGAAGCUACCUACAAGCUGGAACUAGUAGAAGCAGAUCUGACAAAACCAGAAUCUUGGGAAGCAGCAGUAAAAGGCGUAGCUUAUGUCAUCCAUGUGGCAAGCCCCUUCCCCAACUCCCAGCCUAAAGAUGAGAAUGAAGUUAUUCAACCUGCUGUUGAAGGCACUCAGAACAUCUUAAAAGCCUGUGUUGCUGCCAAGACAG